RNAcentral lists this ribosomal RNA (476 nucleotides) under Eikenella sp. canine oral taxon 049. RNAcentral describes it as "bacterial SSU rRNA". It matches the Rfam family "Bacterial small subunit ribosomal RNA", at positions 9 to 474 of the family's 1533-position model. The record is from RNAcentral. Lineage: Bacteria; Pseudomonadati; Pseudomonadota; Betaproteobacteria; Neisseriales; Neisseriaceae.
GAGUUUGAUUAUGGCUCAGAUUGAACGCUGGCGGCAUGCUUUACACAUGCAAGUCGAACGGCAGCACAAAAGAGCUUGCUCUUUUGGUGGCGAGUGGCGAACGGGUGAGUAAUACAUUGGAACGUACCGGGUAAUGGGGGAUAACCAAUCGAAAGAUUGGCUAAUACCGCAUACGCUCUGAGGAGGAAAGCGGGGGACCUUUGGGCCUCGCGUUAUUCGAGCGGCCAAUGACUGAUUAGCUAGUUGGUGGGGUAAGGGCCUACCAAGGCGACGAUCAGUAGCGGGUCUGAGAGGACGAUCCGCCACACUGGGACUGAGACACGGCCCAGACUCCUACGGGAGGCAGCAGUGGGGAAUUUUGGACAAUGGGGGCAACCCUGAUCCAGCCAUGCCGCGUGUAUGAAGAAGGCCUUCGGGUUGUAAAGUACUUUUGUUCGGGAAGAAAAGGGACCGGUUAAUACCCGGUUCUGCUGACG